Molecule: ribosomal RNA, 261 nt
Filed under: uncultured archaeon
Lineage: Archaea
Description: partial 16S ribosomal RNA
Rfam family: Archaeal small subunit ribosomal RNA
Source: RNAcentral
AGGGUGUAAACGCUGCAGACUUGGUGUUGGGAACCCUUCGGGGGUGCUCAGUGCCGGAGAGAAGUUGUUAAGUCUGCUACUUGGGGAGUACGUCCGCAAGGAUGAAACUUAAAGGAAUUGGCGGGGGAGCACAACAACGGGUGGAGCCUGCGGUUUAAUUGGACUCAACGCCGGACAACUCACCGGGAACGACAGCAAUAUGUAGGCCAGGCUGAAGACCUUGCCUGAAUCGCUGAGAGGAGGUGCAUGGCGUAGACGUCU